CCUACGGGUGGCAGCAGUGAGGAAUAUUGGUCAAUGGCCGGAAGGCUGAACCAGCCAUGCCGCGUGAAGGUCAGUGCCCUAUGGGCGUUAAACUUCUUUUGUGCGGGAGCAAUAAUGGUCACGUGUGGCCAGACGAGAGUACCGUACGAAUAAGCAUCGGCUAACUCCGUGCCAGCAGCCGCGGUAAUACGGGGGAUGCAAGCGUUAUCCGGCUUUAUUGGGUUUAAAGGGUGGGGCGGCUGGGAGGUAAGACAGCGGUGAAAUGCCCCCGCUCAACGGGGUGAAGUGCCAUUGAUACUGCCGUGCUGGAAUGCGGAUGCCGUGGGAGGAAUGUGUGGUGUAGCGGUGAAAUGCAUAGAUAUCACACAGAACACCGAUUGCGAAGGCAUCUCACGAAUCCGCGAUUGACGCUGAUGCACGAAAGCGUGGGUAUCAAACAGGAUUAGUACCCCAGUAGUC
This 459-nucleotide ribosomal RNA is filed under the name uncultured bacterium. RNAcentral's name for it is "partial 16S ribosomal RNA". It matches the Rfam family "Bacterial small subunit ribosomal RNA", at positions 338 to 795 of the family's 1533-position model. The record is from RNAcentral.